GACUAUAGAGAGAGAGAGAGAGAGUGAGAGACAGUGAGAGACAGGGGCAGAGAGGGACGGAGGGAAAGAGUUACUCAGACAAAUCACAUGACCCGUUUCCUACAUCUUUGCUUCCCUAUGUUGGACAUCCAUCGUUUAUUCUUGAGCAUUGGGUUGAAAGACUAGUCGAAAUUUCACUGGCUAGCGCGGAACAAAACUAUUUGGGAAAUUGAAUCUAUAAACAGGAAUCGACAUGUCAGAGUCCAUUGUUCCCCCUGAAGUGAGACCCAAACCUGCUGUCCCUGCCAAGCCCCCUCAUGUCGCAGCACCAUCCCCCACAGCACCCCAUGGACCAUCAGGGCUAGGUGGCGGGGUCGGGGUUGAUCGAGUUCCAGGGUUGGGACACUCGGGUGGUGGAUCCACGUUGCUGGGAUACAUUGGGAUUGACACCAUCAUCGAGCAGAUGAGGAAGAAGACCAUGAAGGCUGGUUUCGACUUCAAUAUUAUGAUAGUGGGUCACAGCGGGCUGGGGAAGUCAACGCUGGUAAACACGCUGUUCAAGUCCCAGGUCAGCAGGUGGAGCUCAGGAUGGGGCGGCGAGCAUAAGAUCCCCAAGACAGUGGAGAUCAAGGCUGUGUCCCACGUGAUCGAGGAGGGCGGAGUGAAGAUGAAGUUGACAGUAAUCGACACACCAGGUUUUGGUGAUCAGAUCAACAAUGAAAACUGCUGGGAUCCCAUCUCCAAGUACAUCAACGAGCAGUAUGAGAAGUUCCUGAAGGAAGAGGUCAAUAUUGCUCGAAAGAAGCGAAUACCUGACACCAGAGUUCACUGCUGCCUCUACUUUAUCUCCCCAACGGGACACUCUCUUCGACAGCUGGACAUUGAGUUUAUGAAGCACCUAAGUCGUGUGGUGAACAUCAUCCCCGUCAUCGCCAAGUCUGAUACCAUGACCCCUGACGAGAAGAAUGAGUUCAAACAUAGGGUGAGGAAGGAGCUGGAGACGUAUGGGAUUGAGUACUACCCGCAGAAUGAGUUUGAUGAUGAUAUGGAGGAUAAGAAUGAAAAUGACAAGAUUAGGUCUGUUCACAGGAGGCCAUGCCCUUUGCAGUGGUGGGCAGCGACAAGGAGUUCCAAGUGAACAGUAAACGGGUUCUGGGGAGGAAGACAGCCUGGGGUGUGGUAGAAGUUGAAAAUCCCAAUCACUGCGAAUUUGCUCUGCUACGAGAUUUCCUCAUCAGGUCUCACCUCCAGGACCUGAAGGAGGUCACCCACAACAUCCACUAUGAAACCUACCGCGCCAGGAGACUCAACGACAACGGAGGUCUGCACCCCAUCUCGGCCAACAACACUCAAGAGAGCAACCUUUAAAUUUAAGACUAGGGAUUAAGGAAAGAGAGAGAUAAACAGAGAGAUCAAAAGAUAUUGAUAGACAAAUCUAUGUUGUGAUUUAAGCAUCACUGCAUGCUUUGGAGAACAUUAUAGAUGUGGAAUUCAUUGUCACUCAAAAUAUCAUGUUAGGAGAGCUUUCAUUCCAAAACACGUCCUACGUCUCCCUUUCCUCCGCCCAUCGUCCUAAACCACCCACACUCACAUCCCAGUGACACCUGGGAUUAACCUUUGAUCCUGCAAUCCAAAACAAGGCCAACCCCAGUGUUUCCCCUGAAUGCAUUUUGCAACGGCACAAUAAAUAGUGGGCGCCACUGCAAAUUUAUUUUGUUAUUUUUGUUAUAAUGUAGAUGUGUAGAUGUAUGCCCCAGGAAGAACCCAUCCGCCGCCCCCCGCAGGAAGACCCAAGGAAGACCCCAUCUGCCACCCCCAGCUAAAUCUGCAACCCAAAGCAUUUUGGGAUUGAAGGGAAGGAAUCAAAUGAAGUACUUCAAAUUCGAGGGAAUUCCCUUUAUUCAUAAAAAAUGGAUUUCCUAUUUCCGCUCACCUUGUGCUCUACUCAUCCUUGCCCUGUAAGUACACAGUAUGUUAUGUAGCUGCCACUAUAAGAAUUGAUUUUGUGCUGAAAUGAUUUAUGAAGGGGCUGGUAAAUGAGCACCUCAACUUCCCCAGAAGCAUUGUGACAUAAAUAUAAAUUGUCAAAGGGCUUUAUUUAUUUACAAUAUAGCUAUUUUGUCAUUUUAUCUUUAAAUUGCACAAAAUAUAGAAAUCACAGUCUGAAAUGUUCUUUGCCAUUCACAACUUUUGUGGGUGUUUUUUUUUUAAAGCUCUGAUGUCAAGGUGAUGUGCCAAUUCCCUUUAAUGCUGGGCAGCCGGCUUUCCUUCUCUCUGCCACCCGAGGGCAGUGCUUCCCUGCGCAUACUCACCCUGUGACAGGAAAUUAUUUACUCAUAGACUUAGAUAGAUGUCUCUUUUUAGUCCUGUAUCUAUCUCUAUGGUUUACUUCCCUCCCUCCUAUUCACUCCCUCCACUUCAUCUGGUGACCCAUGCCCAGUGCAUGUUUACAAGAAGUCCUCCAUUACCAGAGUAAUCAUUCCAAAUAUAACCAAUCAGUUAUGACAUGGUAAUGUUAACCAAGGUUUCUUAUGGAAAUCACCCUUCGAUAGAGCACAGGUAUUCCAGAAGUAGCCUACAAGCAAUUAAGUUAAACUAUAUUUAUCAAACAAUUCACUUUUGAUCUAAACUGUAUCCUAAAAGGGGUUUCCCUGCAAAAUGUUUAUACAAUCAUACAGAGUGUGUGUGUUUGUAUGUGUGUGAGUGAGAAGUGACUCAAUUUGGUGUCUAACGUUUGGAAAUGUGUAGUUGUAUAUCAUUAGUGUGGUAUUAGUGAAGACGUUUUUUCAAGGAACAAUUUAAAUAAUACAAAAAAACAAUUCUCACUUGUUUCUAUACAAUGUUUUUAUGUGUGCAUGUCAGGAAACAUGUCUCCUAGUCCUUCUGUCAUUUUCAUUUAAGGAUAUCCCCAGCUCGCAUAUCAAUGCACAGUAAUUUCAAUAUAUUAACCAUUUUUUAACGUGGUGUGUACAUCAACCGACCGCUAAUAACAAUGCAUCACUAAAACUCCAGUAACUCAAAUCAUUCCACAUCUCUUAAAAACAGCAGUGAAACUUUUGGCUGUGAAUUUCCUGUUAUCGUUUCAUUUAAAACCCAUUUUUCUUAAAAGUUGUUCUGAUAUGCUGAGAUGUCAUUUCAGUAUUGCAUUCAUUAUUUAUAUAUUCAUGUAUUAUUUAUAGUAAUUUAUUGUUUAUUUAAUAAAAAUACUUUUGCCAUCUCUUGA
Molecule: RNA transcript, 3202 nt
Organism: Salmo salar (Atlantic salmon)
Lineage: Eukaryota; Metazoa; Chordata; Actinopteri; Salmoniformes; Salmonidae
Gene name: neuronal-specific septin-3
Source: RefSeq, a predicted model, not a curated record